UACGAAGGGGGGCUAGCGUUGUUCGGAAUUACUGGGCGUAAAGCGCGCGCAGGCGGUCUUCCAAGUCAGUGGUGAAAGCCCGGAGCUCAACUCCGGAACUGCCAUUGAAACUGUAAGACUUGAGGAUGAGAGAGGUGAGUGGAAUUCCCAGUGUAGAGGUGAAAUUCGUAGAUAUUGGGAAGAACACCGGUGGCGAAGGCGGCUCACUGGCUCAUAUCUGACGCUCAGGCGCGACAGCGUGGGGAUCAAACAGG
This 254-nucleotide ribosomal RNA is filed under the name uncultured bacterium. RNAcentral's name for it is "partial 16S ribosomal RNA". It matches the Rfam family "Bacterial small subunit ribosomal RNA", at positions 524 to 776 of the family's 1533-position model. The record is from RNAcentral.